UGAAGAACCUACAAAUUCAGAGUUGCUGGGGGCAGUGAGUGAAGAGUAAGGGCCAGGUCAAGGGUCCCGAGGUGGAGCUACAAGGGUGAGUGGGGCCAGGUUCCCCAGCAGUGUUGGUCUGAUCAGGAAGUACAUCCUCACCCUGAUGGAGUGGGGAGCCAGGGGUGGGCUGCAGACGCAUCGAUUCUACGAGAAAUCUAAUUUAGUCCUAAGAGCUGGGCAUUGUGCUAGGACCUGAAGUGUGGUACACAGCCCUGCUGCCGGGUUGACCAUGCUACAAGGGCACAGACCAUGAGUACCAACAGCUACGUAGGAAUAACAUGAUGUGGGCCAGGGGUGUUGCAGAUCAAGUGAUCAGAGAAGGCCACACUGAACAUGCACAGAAGCCUGAAGGACAGGAGGCAAGCAGCUGUGUGGGCACUUGGAGACGUGCCUUGCUGGCUGAGGGCAUCGCAGAGGAAAAGUCCUGAGGGCUGCUUCUUCAAGACAAGCCAGUGUGCAUGGAGCAGAAUCGAGCAGAUGAGGCCAAGAUGGAAGCCAGGAAGCCAGCGAGAAGUCCAUUGCCAAAUCCAGGUGAGAGGCGAUAGAGAAAGCAGCCACGGUCAGUUCUCAGGUAGGCUUUAAAGGAAGAGCCCCAGGGAUCUGCUCACGGAUUGACUAGAAGGUAUGAGGAGCCUUACUGCAGGGGGAGAGAGAGAUGUGCGGCUAGAGGGAGAGGGAGGAGUGGUGGCAGAUCGAGACUUUGGAGGACGUUUGUGUAGUAGAGACAUGCCAUUUGGACAUUCUAGCGGUGACUGGGUGGCAGCUGAGCUAGGCUGCAGCCUAUAGACGGUGGUGGCGGCGGCGCAUGUGAAACGAGGCUUGGGAACAGAGCAGGGCGUGCUAGAGUCAGGCCAUGUCACAGGAGACCUGCGGUGGAGACACGUACACAUGAUGAUGAAAUGAAACAUACAAGCAUAUAAUUAAAUAAACCUGCAUGGAAAAAGGCAAUCUUAAAGGUGCUAGAAAAAAAGAACAAGCUAAACCUAAAGAAAGCCGAAGAAAAGGAAAGAACAGAAAGUCUUCAAUGGAAAACAGAAACCUGAAGCGAAGAGUUAAUGCAGUGGAAAGAUAGUCCUUUGGGGGGAAAGCAGGGGUCAUCAGUGUUCAUAUUGAAAGGGGUAUCACCACAGACCCACCGCACAUUAAAAUAGCACUGAGGAAAUAAACAGCACACAACUCUAAGCCCGUACAUUUGACAACUUUAAGGGGUGAUGGCAAAAAUGCCAUGAGCAACAGUUUUAGUCUUCUGUUACUGGAUAAAAAGCACUACACGCUUAGUGCCUUAAAAUCACAUACAUGGAUGGCCUCAGUGUUCAGAUAUUUGACAUGGAUCUCACGGUGAGCAGAAUGGAUUCUUGGGUAGCUAUCAGUUAGUUGAUUGUAGAAUUUACAGCAAACACACAGGAAGGGGAAGGGCUAAAAGGAGUUGGAAAAGGAAGAGAGAGGCUGGAAAGUCUGCCCAGGAAGCCACAGGAGCGGAGACAGUGCGACACUGGUAAACCGAUCACGAGGAGGACUCAGAAGUAGACCGCACGGAUCUCUCUGGUUUUGUUGAUGCUGUUUUUCAUAAAGAUGAAAAGAAAGUCAAAGGAGGCGUGGUAGCCUUUUCAAUAAACGGGGCUGGAAAUACUGGGGAUCCAUAUGUAAAAUAAAACAAAAGAACCUCACAUCUGACAUAAAAUUUAACUCAAAACGGACUAUAGACCUGAAGAUAAAAUGUAAAUAUAAAAAACUGGAACAGUAGGAAAAAAAUCUUCGUUGUGUUUAUUUAGGCCAGCAGUUCUCAGACCAAACACCAAAGCACAACCCAUAAAAGAAGUGACGUUAACGUCACCAAAAUGGACCGUUUCUGCUCUGAAAGACCUCGUUAAGGAAAACUACAGACAGUAAGAAAAUAUUCGGGAAUCACAUUAUGAUACAAAGGACUUGCGUCCCGAAUACAUACAUAAAAACUCUCAAAACUCAUCAACAGCCUCUGAAAGAAAAAAACGGGCUUAAGAUCUGAAAAAACAUCACCCAGGAAACGGCACCACAGGAAGAGAAGUAGAUGGCAGAUGAACAAGGGCGCAGCGUAACCACUGCCUGUUAAGCGCCUACGUGCGAUGCGAGCCGCCCACCUCGUUUGAGCUCAUCGUUGCGUUCACCUGCCCCACGGUCUUCCUCAGUUUCACUUCCCGUCCGCUUUCUCAAGCACGAUCUCUUCAGGGACUGGGCUCUCCUGACAACAUGCCCGAAGUGUUCGAGGCAAAGUCUCGCCAUCCUUGCUCCAGGGAACAUUCUGGCUCUAGUUCUUGCAAGAGAGGUUUGUUCCUCCAGUUUAACAGUUUCUGAUACGAACCGUAUUCCUCAGCACCGCAAUUCAAAUGUGUCAGUUCUUCUUCAAUGUUCAGUUUUCACAUUGUGGGCAACUUGUUAAGGAAAUGCAAAUUAAAACCACAAUGAGACUCGUACACUUACUAUUGUACCUGAAAAUACCCCAAACAAAACAGCCUGACUGAUGUGCUGGUGGAAGGUACAGUGAUGUGGCCACUUUAGGAUCGGCGGUUUCUUAGACUGACCACGGUCAACAAAAACGCAUCCUCAUGCAAAAGCUGUAUGGAAAUGCUUGGGUGAACGCCCUGUGGGCUCUGCGUGCAGCGGUUCACUCCGCCACUGUAGCCAAGCAGGGACUAGUGUGCGCAACGUGGCGACUGAACCACGUCACGGAGUGAGGGAAGCCAGACGCCACAGCAUGUGCCCUCAGUGACUUACCUUCCAUCGCCAUCAAGGCGAUUCGACAUGUAACAGCCUGUACGAAGAGCAGAACCGCUGCUCUGAACUCCUGAGAUUAAAUACUUAUGGACGCAGACGAAAUCCUUCUCCAGAAGAGCUGGAUGUCCACUGUACUGUCGCUGACCCUUACAUUCUGGAAAGGACAGCACUGUCAGCAAAGGGUGUUGCCAGGAGUCAAGGCUGGAGGAGAGGUGGCUAAGUGGAGUGGGUAGAACAAGCGAAGGGGGAGGCGAUGGGGGGUACACCUGCCUUUAUCUUGUGGUGGCAACACAAAAUAGGAAGCAGAAGUAUUUUCCUUUAUGUAAACUUUAAAGCUAAAUAAAACUAAUGAGGAUUGAAAACUUAUCCUUUCAUAAUUAUUUUAUCAUAAUUUAUGAUUUUCCAUGCUCUCGAGGUGUUUUGUGUUGUGUCUGUCGUGUGAGAAUGCGACACACUGGCUCCUCCUCCCCACUCUACAUUCAAGGACUUCAGCUUAUAGCAUGGACACCACAGAAACUGGGAGACGCUCUAAGACUAAGCUUAUCCUAUCGAUUGUCUGGAGGAGGAACGGUUAAUGUUGAUCACACACAUAAGCGUGCAGUGUCUGGAGCGGCCGUCAUGAAGCGCACAAAAGUUCGAAGGCGUUGUCUUGCGGUAUUCGGAAACUAUUAUGAUUCAGCAAAAAUGUCCCUCACUGCUAAGUAAAAGUCCACCCUGUGUUUUUGCUUUACUUUACUCCUUAAGGAAAACCAACAUUUUUGUUAGAGCUACACUCAAUUGUCAUUUGCAGCCAUAGGUUGGCUACAGAUUAUGGAAUUCAAGAACGAUCGAGGUAAACAAAGUAGGUGCUGUGGUUCUUCAUGACAAUAAAAUUUAAAAUAAACUGUGUAUAUAAGCUAGGGAGCAUAAAGAAUUUUAUGGGGAAACAAGCAUGAAAAUAUAAUGAAAUUUUCGCACCAUGUUGUAAAGGCCCUGGCAUAUAUUUCCCGAUGGCCCCAUCCAUUCCAGAAAGCGGGUGGCUAGAAAUUGAGCAGCACACACUGCCUGGAGCUCUGGUCUGGAGGCCACAUCAGAGAAGCAAAGACUGAGCUGCGAGCGGUGCCAGCGAUCUGCGAGAGGGAAGGUCUUUCUGGCAAGGUGACAUUUGACGAGACACUUGAAAGUAAUCCUGGGAAAGGUGCAUUGAUUGAUGCAGUCAAGGACCUUCAGGGAGACCAAUAGAACGACGUCCAGCUUUUACCAAGGUGAAAACCACUGUCGCUCUGAACUGCGGCAGUGGCAACAGCCACUCUGGUGAUCUAGGAGGACGCUGACUGCUGAGGAAGAGUGUGGGAGUCUUGCAUCAGAGGAGAAAGGUAGCAGGCAAGAGUAAGGGCGGGUGGCUUCAGUGGGCUCAUCAGAUGGCUACGUGGAUCCCUUGCCGGCAUUGACCCUCGUGUUGUCCUCUCAUGCUGCACAACAGGGAGGUCUGUGACCAACGGAACACAGCGCAAGUGAGCGAGCAGGUGAAAAGGCCAUGCUGCUACCCUACAGAAAGGCCCCGUGGCCUGGACGACCUGUGCCCGCAGCCACAUGAGGGAGCUGGGAACCAGAUGCUCCAUCCUGUCACACCUGCCAUGGUAGCUUCCUGAGAGACUACACUGAGGUUCCUGACACCAGUGGAGAGGGGCAGCAUUUGUUACUCUAGCUGCUAAAUAAUGGAGCAAUCCGUUACACUGCAGUAGGUGAUACAACGACGAAGGCUGAGACCAGAGGGAAGUAACAGGUGUGUUUGUAAAUGCAGACAGCUAUGUUUUGGGCUCAAGAAGGAAGGUGACUGUUAAGGGCAGGUGGCAUGGAGAUGGGCUUGGUGGGUUGGGAAGGAGAGGUGGCAGCAGUUUGGACAGGUCCCGUUUGAUAUGUGGAUUGGAAUCCAAGCACAGAGGCUUGGGGAGAAAUUGGCACUUGGAUGGUGCAAAGCUGGAGGAAGGCAGUGGAAGAGAUUAGAAGAGGUCCACAGCUUCGGCUCCAGGACCACUUCCAACAAUGAGAAGGUGAGUGUUCACUCGGACCUACUUCUCCUGAGAGGCUGAGAAGAGAAGAUGAAGAAAGAGCCAGUCACAGUUUGGCCCUGUGGAGCCAGGUUACCUUGACCCAAGAGGAAUGGCCUUGGAGUGGUGAAGGUGAGAGCUGGUUAGAAUGGCGCGUGAGGAGGGGGUGGUUGUGUGUGUGUGUGUGUGUGUGUUGCAGAUUGGAGGCACUUCCAAAAGGUUUAAUAUAAAAAUCACGACUCUACUGGAAAGUUGUGAAAAUUAUUUUGGCCUUUUAAGACUUAGUUUCAUAGUGGACUUUAUUGGGAAAAGUUAGUGUAAAAAACAUUCAGAUUCAAAAAAUUUAAAUAAGACAGUAAAAUUAUACCUUGUAGCUAUAGUAAUCGCUAUAGUAAUCACAAAUAAGGUAAGGCUAAAUUAUUGCCUAAGCAAACACUAUUUUGUCAAGCUUCUGUAUAAGCCCAAGGCAAGAAAACAUUGCAAUUAUUAGAAAUGAGCCCUAUGAUGAAUGAAUUUGCAUUUGAAGCUGGAAGAAGGGGGGAGAGAGAAGCAUGUUCUGAUUACAGUAUCACAACAUUCUAGGCCCAAUAGAAGCAAGUUAAUUAAUGUCCUAGCAGAGUACAUUAGUAAUUUUAACCAUGCAUUAAAAUUCUCAUUUUAUGUCAUAAAGAGAGUAAUCUGUUAUCUUCAUAAUACAUUGUUCUAUUGAGUUUCAUAUGGUUUGUCCCUCUGAAGACUGGGUUCCCUUCCUUCUGGAGGGAUGGCUUCCUAAGACCCCCCAGCUGCUUCCCAUGCUUGUCUUUGGUCAUCUCUGCCAGGGCUUGCGGGGAGCCUCGCCCUCGGACUCGCUUCCUUCAAACCCACAGUGAGAAUGGGGAUCACAAACAAGUUAGUGUGGGAUUCUCUUUGGUUAUGGAAUUCUUAUGUACGCUUAUAAAAAUAUAGCUAGAAAUAUGAUCCUGAAUUCUAAAAAGCACUUCUGAUUGACUUAAAACACAAACAUGUCCUUGCCAAAUCCCCUGACCAGUUUACAAUCCAUCUCCCCCAUCUCCCAUCUAACAGCAGUGUUCUAUUUAGCAAAUACAUGUGCGUGAGUGACUCAUCUUUAGGGGGUCUGAGGGGUGGGGCAGCCGACGAGGGUGGAGUUAGAUGCUGUCCAUCGCCUUGAACUCACUAAGGGCCUGAACAGGGUUCACGUGCUUCUUCUGAGAUGCCCGUUUGAUCUUGGUCUGCGUCUCAUCCUGUUUCUCUCUCUUCACCAAGGGCUUUUUCUCAGGUGCCUUCAUCUUCCACGACACGGCAGGGAGGUUGAGCGAAGCCAUGCCUUGAGACUUCUGGUACUUGGUGGAUGCUACGUAAGACGCCUUCACUGUCUGCACCACAGCAUUCAUCAGGUUCUUGGCUGCCUGAAUCAGAGACAUGGCACUGUCCACCUGGGAGGACAGACAGAAAGGAUGGAGGAAGACCUGCCGUUCACCAGGGAGCUGCGCAGCCUUGGUGUCCCCACCACUCAACCCCAACCCAGCCAGGGCAGGUGACUGCCGCCUGAAUGCGAAGACCUCGGGAAAACAAGGCUGUAAGACCAUGAACACAAGUGACCCAGGGACCCUGUCACACCAAGUUAUGGCCACUGGUUUCCUUGAACUCGGAACAAGCAGCAGGGUUGACGGCAGCCACACUCCCAGCAGAGGCCGCAUCACAUCAUGAAGGGCAUGUGACAGAGAAGCCCCUGAAUUCGUUCACAUCAACUCAGAGGGGCCCUGGGCUUUCCCUCAGGCAUGGAGACCUGCCCAGCCCCGCCCAAAGCCCUGUCAGCAGGGGCGCUCCAGGGAGAGCACACCUCUAGGCUGCAUGAGGAACUGAGCGGUCUCCAGUUUCUGUACGUUCCCUGACUCAAACUGCAGCCUCACACUGUACUGACUGUUUGCUCUAAAUUAAAUCCUCGGGGCAAACUCAUGCUAGCUCCCCUUCUCAGCCCAAGUUUGGGCUCUAACUUACAACUAACAGUCAUUUUAGACAACAUAAUUAAAUAUAUCUCAUUCUAAAA
Echinops telfairi (small Madagascar hedgehog) is the source of this 6870-nucleotide long non-coding RNA. RefSeq lists it as uncharacterized. The transcript has 5 exons. NCBI's taxonomy places the organism in Eukaryota, Metazoa, Chordata, Mammalia, Afrosoricida, Tenrecidae. The record is from RefSeq and is a predicted model, not a curated record.